Molecule: long non-coding RNA, 1661 nt
Organism: Gossypium raimondii (Peruvian cotton)
Lineage: Eukaryota; Viridiplantae; Streptophyta; Magnoliopsida; Malvales; Malvaceae
Exons: 2
Source: RefSeq, a predicted model, not a curated record
AGUGAAAUGCAAUUACAAUUUUCUUUCAAUCUCAAAAAAGGAUGUAUGUUAUCAUCCACUCUUGGAAUGCAUUUUGCCUUUUUUUUCUUAGGUGGGUCUUUGGGCUAUGAAAAGACCAAACGGACCCCAGGAUCAUCUACUAGUCAAGCAGCCAGCCCACUACGACUUUAUACAAAAAAGAAGUGGCCCAGAUGGACUACUAUAUGAAGAACUGUUUACCGAAGAAAUUAUAUUGGUGGAUUCAUUGGCAGCCUGUAAGUCGGACUCGGACUCUUCUGCACCACUUCUUCCAUGAAAAGUUUACCCUUUUUCUCACAUAAAGAGCACAGCAGUUCGAUUUCAGUCACUCGGGUCGCUUGGUCCGAGUUAAUACAGGAAUGCAAUAUCCUUUCAUCUUCAAUUAUCUUUAAUGUUUCUUCUCUCUCAAGCAUUUCCCAUGCAAAUCCCCACUAGACCUGUCCAUGGGCUGGGGCGGCCCGGCCUGGCCCGACGGCCCGCCCGAAAUAUGGGAGAGUUCGGGUAAAAAUAUAGGCCCAAAAUAUGGGCUUGGGCAAAAAAUGAGGCCCGUUUAAAAAAUGGGCCGGGCUCGGGCUCAACUUUUUUGGCCUAAGCCCGGCCCGGCCCGGCCCGAAUAUAAUAAAUAUAUAUAUUUUUUAUUUUAAAAUACUUUAAAAACAUUUUUUUUAUUUUUUUAUUUUUAAAAUAUUUUUUUUGUUUAUUAAAAAUCGAGCCGGGCCGGGCUCGGGCUUAUUAUUUUUUCCCGGGCCAGGCCUGGGUAAAAUUUUAGGCCCAUAUUUUGGGCCGGGCCCGGGCCUAAGAGUCGGGCCAAAUUUUUUUCUCGGGCCCGGCCCAAACCCGGCCCGGCCCAUGGACAGGACUAAAUCCCCACAAAUCCAACUCUUUCUUACCUCUAUCAUUCCACCUUUAUUUUCCCUGCCGACAAUUGCUAACAUCAACACAUCUACUUUCCUUUUGGCAAUGAACGGGUGAACAUCGAUCAGCCUAGCAAGAGAAUGAACCCUUUGUCUCUCGUGACUAGCAUUUUAAUUUCCCAUGGUAAAUGUACUGCCCAUCCAAACCCACCCUAAGAAGAAUGCAAGAACUUAUCAACAAGAUGACUAAUAUUGCAACAAGAAGAUUAAGUGGGAUGUUAAUGAAUUGACUAGUAAGCUUAUUUAGAAGAAGUAAGAUCAAAGAGUCAAUGAAAUCAUUCCAUCAACCUUAUAGGUCAAGAAGCUGGCAAAGGACUUCAGGUAAAAACCAACAAAUUAAAAAAAAGAAAAGAAAAAUGCACUUGUCCAUGUCUCUAACAAUGAAAGAACAAAUGAUAGAUAAAUGUCACUUUUGUAAGAAGUAGGACACUAUCAUUGCUAAAAAAUGCAAAGCUUGGUUGGAAAAGAAAAAUAACUUUUAUUUUUCUAUAUGUUUCCAAUCAAACUUAAUUGAAGUUUCUAAUAAUAUUUGACUCUAAUUAAAGGCAUAGAGAUAUAUCGUUUGGUUUUAGAUACUGGCUAUCACUUAGACCUAUUUCAGAUUAUUUAUGUACCUUCAGUUUGUGAAUUUUAUUGCUAUUUCAAAAAACUUGUUGUUUUUAGGUUUAAUGUUAAGUUUGGAUAUGAUUAUUUCAUUUUAUUUAAUAAUAACACUAUUUUUUGUUUUUA